Long non-coding RNA from Danio aesculapii, 2012 nucleotides. RefSeq lists it as uncharacterized. The transcript is spliced from 3 exons. Lineage: Eukaryota; Metazoa; Chordata; Actinopteri; Cypriniformes; Danionidae. The record is from RefSeq and is a predicted model, not a curated record.
UCACACACACACACGCGCCAAACACUCUCUCUCUCUCCUGUCUGUCUCUCCCUCCCUCAGCUUCACUCGCUCUUGUGCUGUAAGUUCAUUUGCUGUGUCAAGCAACAACUGGCUCGGGAGUGGGCAGUGGGUUUUGAUCCUUUUGUCAAGCGUCCCCCCUGCGAGCGUGUACCGCGUCCACCUGCACACCACGGGACUGGUCGCCUGGCUCUGUGUAGCAUCGCCUGGGUUUAUCACGACUGGGCAUCUCCAACCCGCACAACAAGAUGCUGCUGAGGGUUUGACGGGGUGCACCCUUUACAGUGGACUAUCAUCAUCAUCAUCAUCAUCGUGGAAAUGGGAAUCAAGAUAUGCACGCUCGCCGGAGGACCUCCACAGGGUCCUUGCAUCCCAGACGAGCCGUUGAGGGGCCCUUGCCUUGCGCUACAAAGCGUCUUCAAUCAAUUGUUUUGAAAAAGGCCGUUUUCCGAACAACAGGCAGGCGGUUCUGUUGUUUCUCUCUAUAAAGGACUCUCUUCGGUGACGGGUAUUCUUGGGUGGAUAAUACGGCUCUCGUUGUUAUUGCUUAAGAAUACGCGUAGUCGAGGAGAGUCAUGUCGGCGGCGAGAGAGCGUUGAAUCCAGAAGGCCCACCUGCCUGCACGCACACAUGCGUUUGGUUCACGCCCACAUCCAUUUAUUGAGUCAGCGAUACUGCAUUUCCUGUUUGUGAGUGUGUGUGUGAAGCUUGUGCUGUUGAUUUAUCUGGCGACUCCUACCAAACAUCUUUUCAGCCACCGGAUUUAUGAUUCGCCGAAAAAAGAAGGGAAUGGUGUAUGUUGUAACACAUCGGGCGGGGUUUAGAUGCAAAUGUGCCAUAUAUUCUUUCCUCAGGACCGCACACACUCUACCUUUUUAAUGCAAAUUGAUUUUGAAAUGACAUUUAUCGCGCAGGGUUUCCGUAUGGAGAGGGAAAAAAGAAUUGAAUGAAACGUCCACGAUGCCACUGACAGCUAAAUUUAUGCGGCUUGUAAAGGAACACACUGCAGAUAAACAGUUACCGAGGCUUUAGAUUGACUGCGGCGCGGCUUCCCAUGUAGGCACGCGUAUAUAUCUUGAAUGUAUCAUGAAUAUGUAUCAGGCCAGCUUAUGAUGCUGCCUUCUAACGCCCAUGAAAUCCAUUUAGGGAACCUAAUAGGAUCUACUUGACUUAUGAAAGCUUACCAUCAGGUCUUAUAAAUAUACAUGAAAUCAAAACAAAUGGAUUGCAUUUGGACCGGCUUGUUGAUGUACUGAUUUGUAAAAUCUGCAAACAUUUUAAUUCGUUCGCCAUUAUCAUGCAGCACGUUUAAGUGAUGUAUUAGCAUUUCAGAUAGACUAAAGGCAACAAUCAGCCCGCUCUAUCCUUGAUCACUCUGUAAUUAUCCUUCUUUCGGCUAUGUGUUUAAAUGAAUAGAGAGAAAAGAGGUGUGGAGGAGGAAUAAUGUAGUGUUUUACCACUAGGGGACCCACACAACUGAAAAUCACAUGCGAUUGUAUUGGUUUAAUUUAUUUGAAUGCCUUUUCUUGAAGAUUUAAAAUGAAUAUUGAUGAAAAUCCUUUUAGAUCCAACACAUUUUGGCUGCUUAAAAGGAGUUAAUUCUUAGCACGAACAUUUAAAAUGAAUGACGUUUCAUUUAUUCCUUUAUUAAUUUAUGCUAAACAGUGCCUUGAGAUGGAAUUGCGAGAAAGGUCACAUGCAGACCAUUUGCUUAGCCAUUAUAUGAUAUACUAGAGUAUUUUCUUGUAUUUAAGAUGCUUACUUUAUUCCAUGCUCUCAUAGUUCUGAUGUAUGAUAGCAUGUAGAUCGACUUUUUCUAUUUGUGAUGCUGUUGAGUAAAUAUCUCACUGUAAACUGAUUAACUUCCAUCUGUCUGCAGUUUAUGACGUGAUGAAAUUACUCAGGCCUUCACAGCUCAUCUUGAAAUAAUUUUUAUGUGCACAUCAUCUUUGUUCCUCCCCCUUAUAUUAUAAAUAAAGCUUGAUUUAAGUCAA